This 662-nucleotide ribosomal RNA is filed under the name Mycobacterium sp. RNAcentral describes it as "bacterial SSU rRNA". It matches the Rfam family "Bacterial small subunit ribosomal RNA", at positions 87 to 763 of the family's 1533-position model. Lineage: Bacteria; Bacillati; Actinomycetota; Actinomycetes; Mycobacteriales; Mycobacteriaceae. The record is from RNAcentral.
GUACUCGAGUGGCGAACGGGUGAGUAACACGUGGGUGAUCUGCCCUGCACUUUGGGAUAAGCCUGGGAAACUGGGUCUAAUACCGAAUAUGACCGCGCACUUCCUGGUGUGUGGUGGAAAGCUUUUGCGGUGUGGGAUGGGCCCGCGGCCUAUCAGCUUGUUGGUGGGGUAAUGGCCUACCAAGGCGACGACGGGUAGCCGGCCUGAGAGGGUGACCGGCCACACUGGGACUGAGAUACGGCCCAGACUCCUACGGGAGGCAGCAGUGGGGAAUAUUGCACAAUGGGCGCAAGCCUGAUGCAGCGACGCCGCGUGAGGGAUGACGGCCUUCGGGUUGUAAACCUCUUUCAAUAGGGACGAAGCGCAAGUGACGGUACCUAUAGAAGAAGGACCGGCCAACUACGUGCCAGCAGCCGCGGUAAUACGUAGGGUCCGAGCGUUGUCCGGAAUUACUGGGCGUAAAGAGCUCGUAGGUGGUUUGUCACGUUGUUCGUGAAAACUCACAGCUUAACUGUGGGCGUGCGGGCGAUACGGGCAGACUAGAGUACUGCAGGGGAGACUGGAAUUCCUGGUGUAGCGGUGGAAUGCGCAGAUAUCAGGAGGAACACCGGUGGCGAAGGCGGGUCUCUGGGCAGUAACUGACGCUGAGGAGCGAAAGCGUG